This 253-nucleotide ribosomal RNA is filed under the name uncultured bacterium. RNAcentral's name for it is "partial 16S ribosomal RNA". It matches the Rfam family "Bacterial small subunit ribosomal RNA", at positions 524 to 776 of the family's 1533-position model. The record is from RNAcentral.
GACAAAGGAUGCAAGCGUUAUCCAGAAUGAUUAGGCGUAAAGCGUCUGUAGGUGGCUUUUUAAGUCCGCCGUUAAAUCCUAGGGCUCAACCCUGGACAGGCGGUGGAAACUACCAAGCUGGAGUACGGUAGGGGUAGAGGGAAUUUCCGGUGGAGCGGUGAAAUGCGUAGAGAUCGGAAAGAACACCAACGGCGAAAGCACUCUGCUGGGCCGACACUGACACUAAGAGACGAAAGCUAGGGGAACGAAUGGG